GAUGUCCCCAUGACAACCGACGUUGGAGUUUGGAGGUGCUUGCCUUAGAGCAAGGGAAACAGCUCUCAUUCAAAGGAACUAGAAGCCUCUCCCUCAGUGGUAGGGAGAGAGCCAGGAGCGGUUUUCUGGGAACUGUGGGAUGUGCCCUUGGGGGCCCGAGAAAACAGAAGGAAAAUGCUCCAGACCAGUAACUACAGCCUGGUGCUCUCUCUGCAGUUCCUGCUGCUGUCCUAUGACCUCUUUGUCAAUUCCUUCUCAGAACUGCUCCAAAAGACUCCUGUCAUCCAGCUUGUGCUCUUCAUCAUCCAGGAUAUUGCAGUCCUCUUCAACAUCAUCAUCAUUUUCCUCAUGUUCUUCAACACCUUCGUCUUCCAGGCUGGCCUGGUCAACCUCCUAUUCCAUAAGUUCAAAGGGACCAUCAUCCUGACAGCUGUGUACUUUGCCCUCAGCAUCUCCCUUCAUGUCUGGGUCAUGAAAGAAGUAGAGGUCCCAGGAAAGAAGCAAAGCAACACCAGAGUCUCCGGGUGCUUCCUGAAGAGGAUUCUGUGCCCUGGUUCCUGGAGCCAAAAUAGGUCCUGGCUUUGUAC
This 587-nucleotide small RNA is filed under the name Pan troglodytes (chimpanzee). RNAcentral's name for it is "processed transcript". The record is from RNAcentral. Lineage: Eukaryota; Metazoa; Chordata; Mammalia; Primates; Hominidae.